Molecule: ribosomal RNA, 501 nt
Filed under: uncultured bacterium
Lineage: Bacteria
Description: partial 16S ribosomal RNA
Rfam family: Bacterial small subunit ribosomal RNA
Source: RNAcentral
AUUGAACGCUAGCGGCAUGCCUUACACAUGCAAGUCGAACGGCAGCGGGGGAGCUUGCUCCCGCCGGCGAGUGGCGAACGGGUGAGUAAUACAUCGGAACGUACCCAGUAGCGGGGAUAGCCCGGCGAAAGCCGGAUUAAUACCGCAUACGCCCUACGGGGGAAAGGGGGGGAUCGCAAGACCUCUCACUAUUGGAGCGGCCGAUGGCUGAUUAGCUAGUUGGUGGGGUAAAGGCCUACCAAGGCGACGAUCAGUAGCUGGUCUGAGAGGACGACCAGCCACACUGGGACUGAGACACGGCCCAGACUCCUACGGGAGGCAGCAGUGGGGAAUUUUGGACAAUGGGCGAAAGCCUGAUCCAGCAAUGCCGCGUGUGCGAAGAAGGCCUUCGGGUUGUAAAGCACUUUUGUCAGGGAAGAAAUCGUUUGGGUUAAUACCCCGAGCAGUUGACGGUACCUGAAGAAUAAGCACCGGCUAACUACGUGCCAGCCGCCGCCGUAA